GCGUUGUCCGGAAUUAUUGGGCGUAAAGAGCUUGUAGGCGGUUUGUCGCGUCUGCUGUGAAAGCCCGGGGCUUAACUCCGGGUCUGCAGUGGGUACGGGCAGGCUAGAGUAUGGUAGGGGAGACUGGAAUUCCUGGUGUAGCGGUGAAAUGCGCAGAUAUCAGGAGGAACACCGAUGGCGAAGGCAGGUCUCUGGGCCAUUACUGACGCUGAGAAGCGAAAGCAUG
This 226-nucleotide ribosomal RNA is filed under the name uncultured bacterium. Its description in RNAcentral is "partial 16S ribosomal RNA". It matches the Rfam family "Bacterial small subunit ribosomal RNA", at positions 538 to 763 of the family's 1533-position model. The record is from RNAcentral.